AAUCUAUCAAAUCCACACACACGUGAAUUAUUCCGUUGGCCAUUCGAAAAGAAAUUUUCGGAUUGGGGCUGGGCUGUUAGCUCAUCUCAGCUCUGGCUGCCAUAUUACUAAUUCGUUAGUAAUAUAGCAUCGGCCGUACAAACUGCCAACCAACAACCAACAAAACAAAUUAUACGGAUGCACGGCAGAGUGCCGUACAUUCACCAACCAAGACAACUCUCAACAACGGAUAUCUUGGCUCUCAGAUCGAUGAAGAACGCAGCGAAAUGCGAUACGUAGUGUGAAUUGCAGAAAUACGUGAAUCAUCGAAUCUUUGAACGCAAAUUGCGCUCGAGGCUUCGGCCAAGAGCAUGUCUGCCUCAGCGUCGGGUUAAAACUCACUCCUCCUUACCAUGGGAAAGAGUGGAACUGACCGUCUCAGCACGCAAUCGUGUGUGCUGGGUCUGUUGAAGUUUGCAGUUGCUGAUACAUGGAACUGCGUAUGGCGGGCCUCUACUGGGUAGGCAAUUAACGUUGCUGCAGUGGUUGGCUUACGUUCUGUGUUUGUCGGCACAAAACAGGACAUGCCUUUGGCAUGCAACCCUCUUUUUUCGACCUGAGCUCAGGCAAGA
RNAcentral lists this small RNA (611 nucleotides) under Volvulina steinii. Its description in RNAcentral is "eukaryotic LSU rRNA". The stretch from base 215 to 368 matches the Rfam family "5.8S ribosomal RNA". The record is from RNAcentral. Lineage: Eukaryota; Viridiplantae; Chlorophyta; Chlorophyceae; Chlamydomonadales; Volvocaceae.